AGACGACGAGGUUGAUAGGUUCGAGGUGGAAGUGCGGUAACGUAUGCAGCUGACGAAUACUAAUCGGUCGAGGGCUUAACCUA
RNAcentral lists this non-coding RNA (83 nucleotides) under Paenibacillus pectinilyticus. Its description in RNAcentral is "Bacterial large subunit ribosomal RNA". It matches the Rfam family "Bacterial large subunit ribosomal RNA", at positions 2842 to 2925 of the family's 2925-position model. The record is from Rfam by way of RNAcentral. Lineage: Bacteria; Bacillati; Bacillota; Bacilli; Caryophanales; Paenibacillaceae.